AGCUCCAAUAGCGUAUAUUAAAGUUGUUGCAGUUAAAAAGCUCGUAGUUGGAUUUCUGGUACGAUGCGCCUGGUCCACUAGGGCAACCUAUGUGAGUGCCGGUGUGCGUCUGCCAUCCUUGUACAGAACGGCUCUACCCUUCAUUGGGUCGGAGUCGCCAUGUACAUCUUUUACUUUGAAAAAAUUAGAGUGUUUAAAGCAGGCUUUCGCCAUGAAUACAUUAGCAUGGAAUAAUAAUUUAGGACUUUGUUUCUAUUUUGUUGGUUUCUAGAAGUGAAGUAAUGAUUGAUAGGGAUAGUUGGGGGUGCUAGUAUUCAUCGGCCAGAGGUGAAAUUCUUGGAUUCGAUGAAGACUAACUAAUGCGAAAGCAUUCACCAAGGAUGUCUUCU
RNAcentral lists this ribosomal RNA (389 nucleotides) under uncultured eukaryote. Its description in RNAcentral is "SSU rRNA". It matches the Rfam family "Eukaryotic small subunit ribosomal RNA", at positions 587 to 972 of the family's 1831-position model. The record is from RNAcentral.